This 65-nucleotide transfer RNA is filed under the name Latona dysoni. RNAcentral describes it as "tRNA-Asn". Lineage: Eukaryota; Metazoa; Arthropoda; Branchiopoda; Diplostraca; Sididae. The record is from RNAcentral.
UAGGCUUUAUUUUAUAAUAGAAUAGUUAGCUGUUAUCUAACUGGAGCAAAAGGUUGCAAGCCUAA